UAAAUAUGAUCAUGUAAAGAUAACCGUCAACAUUUAUUGGCCGCCUACAAUGUGCCAGAUGCAGGGCUAAGUACUUUGAGUUAUGGCAUUUAGCUCUUAAAAUAGCCCUAUGGAUUGGUACUACUUCUAUCCCAUAGGAAACCGGGGCUCAGAGCAGCUAAGAGCCCUAGUGGGAGCAACCCCGAUGGCGGACAUGAUGCCAGGCCCUCUGGCCGGGGCCAAUGCUUUGGGUGUAGGGCUCAGGAGCCCUGGGGUGUGUGUCAUCUCUUUCAGUAACUGGCUGCGUGACUCUGGCUCACCACAACAUCUUUAAAAAUUCAACAUGGAGGGCUUCCCUGGUGGCGCAGUGGUUGAGAGUCCGCCUGCCGAUGCAGGGGACACGGGUUCGUGCCCCGGUCCGGGAAGAUCCCACAUGCCGCGGAGCGGCUGGGCCCGUGAACCAUGGCCGCUGAGCCUGCACGUCCGGAGCCUGUGCUCUGCAAAGGGAGAGGCCGCAACAGUGAGAGGCUCGUGUACCGCAAAAAAAAAAAAAAAAAAAAAAAUUCAAGAUGGAGAGGAAGUUUGAUCUUUAGUUUGACCUGAUACUGGCAUUUUACAUGUGAUGCUGAAAUAAAGGAAUGCUGUGAUCUA
This is a long non-coding RNA of Lagenorhynchus albirostris (white-beaked dolphin), 630 nucleotides long. RefSeq lists it as uncharacterized. The transcript is spliced from 2 exons. The record is from RefSeq and is a predicted model, not a curated record. Lineage: Eukaryota; Metazoa; Chordata; Mammalia; Artiodactyla; Delphinidae.